GGGCCCUUAGCUCAGUUGGGAGAGCGCUUCGCUGGCAGCGAAGAGGUCAACGGUUCGAUCCCGUUAGGGUCCACCA
RNAcentral lists this transfer RNA (76 nucleotides) under Halobacteriovorax sp. JY17. Its description in RNAcentral is "tRNA-Ala". It matches the Rfam family "tRNA". Rfam says of the family: Transfer RNA (tRNA) molecules are approximately 80 nucleotides in length. Their secondary structure includes four short double-helical elements and three loops (D, anti-codon, and T loops). Further hydrogen bonds mediate the characteristic L-shaped molecular structure. tRNAs have two regions of fundamental functional importance: the anti-codon, which is responsible for specific mRNA codon recognition, and the 3' end, to which the tRNAs corresponding amino acid is attached (by aminoacyl-tRNA synthetases). tRNAs cope with the degeneracy of the genetic code in two manners: having more than one tRNA (with a specific anti-codon) for a particular amino acid; and 'wobble' base-pairing, i.e. permitting non-standard base-pairing at the 3rd anti-codon position. The record is from RNAcentral. Lineage: Bacteria; Pseudomonadati; Bdellovibrionota; Bacteriovoracia; Bacteriovoracales; Halobacteriovoraceae. RNAcentral also lists the same sequence under 1 other name.